AUUGAACGCUGGCGGCAGGCCUAACACAUGCAAGUCGAACGAGUGGCGGACGGGUGAGUUAUGUCUGGGAUUCUGCCUGAUGGAGGGGGAUAUUUACUGGAAACGGUAGCUAAUAACGCAUACCAUCAUAUGAACCCAUAUGGGAUUAGCUUGUAGGUGAGGUAACGGCACACCUAGGCGACGAUCCCUAGCUGGUCUGAGCGGAUGAUCAGCCACACUGGGACUGAGACACGACCCAGACUCCUACGGUAGGCAGCAGUGGGGAAUAUUGCAGAAUGGGCGAGAGCCUGAUGCAGCCAUGCCGCGUGUAUGAAGAAGGCCCUAGGGUUGUAAAGGACUUUCAGUCGGGAGGCGUUACCGACAGAAGAAGCACCGGCUAACUCCGUGCCAGCAGCCGCGGUAAUAC
RNAcentral lists this ribosomal RNA (406 nucleotides) under uncultured bacterium. RNAcentral describes it as "partial 16S ribosomal RNA". It matches the Rfam family "Bacterial small subunit ribosomal RNA", at positions 30 to 526 of the family's 1533-position model. The record is from RNAcentral.